AGUGAACGCUGGCGGUAGGCCUAACACAUGCAAGUCGAACGGCAGCACAGUAGAGCUUGCUCUUACGGGUGGCGAGUGGCGGACGGGUGAGGAAUACAUCGGAAUCUUCUUUUUCGUGGGGGAUAACGUAGGGAAACUUACGCUAAUACCGCAUACGACCUACGGGUGAAAGCAGGGGAUCUUCGGACCUUGCGCGAUUGAAUGAGCCGAUGUCGGAUUAGCUAGUUGGCGGGGUAAAGGCCCACCAAGGCGACGAUCCGUAGCUGGUCUGAGAGGAUGAUCAGCCACACUGGAACUGAGACACGGUCCAGACUCCUACGGGAGGCAGCAGUGGGGAAUAUUGGACAAUGGGCGCAAGCCUGAUCCAGCCAUACCGCGUGGGUGAAGAAGGCCUUCGGGUUGUAAAGCCCUUUUGUUGGGAAAGAAAAGCAGCAGGUUAAUACCCCGCUGUUCUGACGGUACCCAAAGAAUAAGCACCGGCUAACUUCGUG
RNAcentral lists this ribosomal RNA (491 nucleotides) under uncultured bacterium. RNAcentral's name for it is "partial 16S ribosomal RNA". It matches the Rfam family "Bacterial small subunit ribosomal RNA", at positions 29 to 507 of the family's 1533-position model. The record is from RNAcentral.